UACGGGGGGGGCAAGCGUUGUUCGGAAUUACUGGGCGUAAAGGGUGCGUAGGCGGUCCGCUAAGUUGGAUGUGAAAACUCUGGGCUUAACCCAGAGCCUGCAUUCAAAACUGACGGGCUAGAGUUCUGGAGGGGGUAGCGGAAUUCCUGGUGUAGCGGUGAAAUGCGUAGAUAUCGGUAGGAACACCAGUGGCGAAGGCGGUUUCCUGGAGCCCACUUGACGCUGAGACGCGAAAGCUGGGGGAGCAAACGGG
RNAcentral lists this ribosomal RNA (253 nucleotides) under uncultured bacterium. RNAcentral describes it as "partial 16S ribosomal RNA". It matches the Rfam family "Bacterial small subunit ribosomal RNA", at positions 524 to 776 of the family's 1533-position model. The record is from RNAcentral.